GUCUGACGCUGGAAGCCUGUAUGCUUGCACCGGGUGGAUGAGUGGCGAACGGGUGAGUAACACGUGAGUAACCUGCCCCUGACUUCGGGAUAAGCCCGGGAAACUGGGUCUAAUACCGGAUACGACUGCCGGACGCAUGUCUGGUGGUGGAAAGUUUUUUCGGUUGGGGAUGGGCUCGCGGCCUAUCAGUUUGUUGGUGAGGUAAUGGCUCACCAAGACGACGACGGGUAGCCGGCCUGAGAGGGCGACCGGCCACACUGGGACUGAGACACGGCCCAGACUCCUACGGGAGGCAGCAGUGGGGAAUAUUGCACAAUGGGGGAAACCCUGAUGCAGCGACGCAGCGUGCGGGAUGACGGCCUUCGGGUUGUAAACCGCUUUCAGCAGGGAAGAAGCGAAAGUGACGGUACCUGCAGAAGAAGUACCGGCUAACUACGUGCCAGCAGCCGCGGUAAUACGUAGGGUACGAGCGUUGUCCGGAAUUAUUGGGCGUAAAGAGCUCGUAGGUGGUUGGUCACGUCUGCUGUGGAAACGCAACGCUUAACGUUGCGCGUGCAGUGGGUACGGGCUGACUAGAGUGCAGUAGGGGAGUCUGGAAUUCCUGGUGUAGCGGUGAAAUGCGCAGAUAUCAGGAGGAACACCGGUGGCGAAGGCGGGACUCUGGGCUGUAACUGACACUGAGGAGCGAAAGCAUGGGGAGCGAACAGGAUUAGAUACCCUGGUAGUCCAUGCCGUAAACGUUGGGCACUAGGUGUGGGGGGCAUUCCACGUUCUCCGCGCCGUAGCUAACGCAUUAAGUGCCCCGCCUGGGGAGUACGGUCGCAAGGCUAAAACUCAAAGGAAUUGACGGGGGCCCGCACAAGCGGCGGAGCAUGCGGAUUAAUUCGAUGCAACGCGAAGAACCUUACCAAGGCUUGACAUACACCAGACCGUCCUGGAAACAGGUCCUCUUCUUUGAAGCUGGUGUACAGGUGGUGCAUGGUUGUCGUCAGCUCGUGUCGUGAGAUGUUGGGUUAAGUCCCGCAACGAGCGCAACCCUCGUUCUAUGUUGCCAGCACGUGAUGGUGGGAACUCAUAGGAAACUGCCGGGGUCAACUCGGAGGAAGGUGGGGAUGACGUCAAAUCAUCAUGCCCUUUAUGUCUUGGGCUU
RNAcentral lists this ribosomal RNA (1150 nucleotides) under Brevibacterium sp. PBE209. RNAcentral describes it as "bacterial SSU rRNA". It matches the Rfam family "Bacterial small subunit ribosomal RNA", at positions 61 to 1216 of the family's 1533-position model. The record is from RNAcentral. Lineage: Bacteria; Bacillati; Actinomycetota; Actinomycetes; Micrococcales; Brevibacteriaceae.